AAAACAUAGGAAGGACCACUGUGACAGGUUUUCACUGUAUUUGUAGAUUUUCUUCUUUUACGUUUAUUUAUUUAUUUUGAGAGAGAGCAAGCGAGCGAGCGAGCAGGGGAGGGGCAGAGAGACAAAGAAUCCCAACCAAGCAGGCUCCAUCCUGUCAAUGCUUGGCCCAGCACGGGGCUCAAACCCACGAACCGCGAGAUUAUGACCUGAGCCAAAAUCAAGAGUUGGACGCUUAACCGACUGAACCACCCAGGUGCCCCAUGUACUUGUAGUUUUGAUUGACCUUCCUUCCAGUACCUUAUUGAAUUUUAGAUACUACAAUUUGAAUGUUACAUUGAAAUUUUGGGGUCUGUAGAAAAACUACUGCCUGGGAAGAAGAAUUUCCUCUGCCCUGUGGUCCUUUGAGCUGGACAUAGAAUCAGACUGACGUGAGACAGACUAACAGAGAGAAUCCAGUGUAAUAGGCCUGCAUGCAGGGAAUCCACACAGGCUGGAAAUUCCAAAGACAAUGAGGCAACGUGAAGCUUCUAUGAGCUCAGGAGAGGGGUAGCUCAGGAGAGGAUACAAAGGAGAGGAAGGCCAAUAGCAGGAAGGAGAAAGGAGAUGUCUGAAAACUAGGGUUGCUCUAUUUCGCUGCACACAGAGACAUGACAUUCCUCUACAAGCCAGAAGAGAGCUCUCCCCAGAACCAACCAUGCUGAUGCCUUUGCCCUUGGACUGCCAGCCUCCGGAAGUGAUGGAACCCUGAACUGUUAUGUUUCACCUACAAUAGUUUUUUCUCCUUCCACUGGCAACAGAAAUCAGCAGCUUAAGAGCCUUUCAAGGGCAAUUCUGUCCUACUGGGUCGUCUCGAAGUUGAAUGGAUUUCCAUGGAAGAGGGGCCUGCAGAGUUGAUAAUCGAACAAAGACCAGAGAAAAUGAAAUUCACCUGUACUGACCAAGUGGGCAAGGGAGGGCAAUCCAAUGUCAAAUAAAGGGUGUUUCCAAAGUCAA
Acinonyx jubatus (cheetah) is the source of this 993-nucleotide long non-coding RNA. RefSeq lists it as uncharacterized. The transcript has 4 exons. NCBI's taxonomy places the organism in Eukaryota, Metazoa, Chordata, Mammalia, Carnivora, Felidae. The record is from RefSeq and is a predicted model, not a curated record.